This 523-nucleotide long non-coding RNA is filed under the name Fukomys damarensis (Damara mole-rat). Its description in RNAcentral is "lncRNA (ENSFDAG00000031238.1)". The record is from RNAcentral. Lineage: Eukaryota; Metazoa; Chordata; Mammalia; Rodentia; Bathyergidae.
GCUCCCCCCAGGACAUCGCAGCCGUGAGGAGCCAGGCAGCCCUCCAGAGUAUGCGGACGUCACGGCUGAUGGCACAGAACUCAGGCAUGAUGGGCAUGGGACCCUCCCAGAACCCAGGGACCAUGGCCACAGCUGCUGCCCAGUCUGAGAUGGGACUGGCCCCUUACAGCAGCACACCCACCAGCCACACAGGAAUGUACAGCAUGAGCACAGGGAUGACCCAGAUGUUGCAGCACCCAAACCAAAGUGGCAUGAGCAUCACACACGGCCAAGCCCAUGGACCGAGGCAGCCUGCUUCCGGCCAAGGAGUUGGGAUGGCGAAGCCAUUUCUCCACUUCCGGGAGACCUGUCCUAAGAUCCCCGUGAGACUUUACAAAGCACAGUAAGACAACAUAUCUCAAAACCAUCUGGGUUAAGCUGAGAAACAGACCGAAGAAUAAAGCCAGCAUAAGAAAAAAGGAUCCAAAAUGAAGCUGAGUUUUUUUUUUUUUUUUAUUGAGUUUAUUGGUACAUUUAGGGAUAC